RNAcentral lists this ribosomal RNA (490 nucleotides) under uncultured bacterium. Its description in RNAcentral is "partial 16S ribosomal RNA". It matches the Rfam family "Bacterial small subunit ribosomal RNA", at positions 28 to 507 of the family's 1533-position model. The record is from RNAcentral.
GAUGAACGCUAGCUACAGGCUUAACACAUGCAAGUCGAGGGGCAGCAUGGUCUUAGCUUGCUAAGGCCGAUGGCGACCGGCGCACGGGUGAGUAACACGUAUCCAACCUGCCGUCUACUCUUGGACAGCCUUCUGAAAGGAAGAUUAAUACAAGAUGGCAUCAUGAGUCCGCAUGUUCACAUGAUUAAAGGUAUUCCGGUAGACGAUGGGGAUGCGUUCCAUUAGAUAGUAGGCGGGGUAACGGCCCACCUAGUCUUCGAUGGAUAGGGGUUCUGAGAGGAAGGUCCCCCACAUUGGAACUGAGACACGGUCCAAACUCCUACGGGAGGCAGCAGUGAGGAAUAUUGGUCAAUGGGCGAGAGCCUGAACCAGCCAAGUAGCGUGAAGGAUGACUGCCCUAUGGGUUGUAAACUUCUUUUAUAAAGGAAUAAAGUCGGGUAUGGAUACCCGUUUGCAUGUACUUGAUGAAUAAGGAUCGGCUAACUCCGUG